Molecule: ribosomal RNA, 29 nt
Filed under: Cloacina tyche
Lineage: Eukaryota; Metazoa; Nematoda; Chromadorea; Rhabditida; Strongylidae
Description: partial 28S ribosomal RNA
Source: RNAcentral
UGCAACCUGAGCUCAGUCGUGUUACCCGC